CCCCUUGAGGUUCGGGCGCGAUUGGCCUAUAUUCAUAGCGUCCUUCGGGACUAUGAACAUAAACGCGCUCGUAAUAAGCGGAUCGGACCCGGGGGCGGUACCCGGCGACUCCACCAAACAUCCUUCAUUUGGGGAUCAUGGGGUCGAAACAGGAUCGACGAACGUCUAAAGGGGUUUGCUUUGUUUCGGCUGUCUGCCACCGUUAUCGGCGAAACUUGUACAAUUGCAAAUGACAAUCGUGCUCCAGUUGCGAUGGCCGCGUAAGCGGUUUCAGCGACUGAAACUUAACUCCUUGGGUUUAGCGACCUAAGGCGGGGUUCGCAGGCACCUGGCAACAGAAGCCUGCACU
Molecule: transfer-messenger RNA, 349 nt
Filed under: Roseobacter denitrificans
Lineage: Bacteria; Pseudomonadati; Pseudomonadota; Alphaproteobacteria; Rhodobacterales; Roseobacteraceae
Also listed under: 1 other name
Rfam family: Alphaproteobacteria transfer-messenger RNA
About the family: Bacterial tmRNA, also known as 10Sa RNA or SsrA, is named for its dual tRNA and mRNA-like properties.
Source: RNAcentral